UGAGGAAUAUUGGUCAAUGGACGCAAGUCUGAACCAGCCAAGUAGCGUGCAGGAUGACGGCCCUAUGGGUUGUAAACUGCUUUUAUAUGGGGAUAAAGUGGGGAACGUGUUCCCUUCUGCAGGUACCAUAUGAAUAAGGACCGACUAAUUCCGUGCCAGCAGCCGCGGUAAUACGGAAGGUUCGGGCGUUAUCCGGAUUUAUUGGGUUUAAAGGGAGCGUAGGCCGUUUGGUAAGCGUGUUGUGAAAUGUAGGAGCUCAACUUCUAGAUUGCAGCGCGAGAUGUCAGACUGGAGUGCGCAAAGCGUAGGCGGAAUUCAUGGUGUUGCAGUGGAAUGCUUAGAUAUCAUGAAGAACUCCGAUUGCGGAGGCAGCUUACGGGGGCGCAAAUGACGCUGAAGCUGGAAGAUGGGGGUAUCGAACAGG
RNAcentral lists this ribosomal RNA (424 nucleotides) under Verrucomicrobiota bacterium. RNAcentral describes it as "Verrucomicrobia bacterium partial 16S ribosomal RNA". It matches the Rfam family "Bacterial small subunit ribosomal RNA", at positions 355 to 776 of the family's 1533-position model. The record is from RNAcentral. Lineage: Bacteria; Pseudomonadati; Verrucomicrobiota.